RNAcentral lists this ribosomal RNA (471 nucleotides) under uncultured bacterium. RNAcentral's name for it is "bacterial SSU rRNA". It matches the Rfam family "Bacterial small subunit ribosomal RNA", at positions 329 to 793 of the family's 1533-position model. The record is from RNAcentral.
UUCAGCACUCCUACGGGAGGCAGCAGUGGGGAAUAUUGCACAAUGGGCGCAAGCCUGAUGCAGCCAUGCCGCGUGUAUGAAGAAGGCCUUCGGGUUGUAAAGUACUUUCAGCAGUGAGGAAGGUGGGUAUGUUAAUAGCAUACUCAUUUGACGUUAGCUGCAGAAGAAGCACCGGCUAACUCCGUGCCAGCAGCCGCGGUAAUACGGAGGGUGCGAGCGUUAAUCGGAAUUACUGGGCGUAAAGCGCAUGCAGGUGGUUUGUUAAGUCAGAUGUGAAAGCCCGGGGCUCAACCUCGGAAUUGCAUUUGAAACUGGCAAACUAGAGUACUGUAGAGGGGGUAGAAUUUCAGGUGUAGCGGUGAAAUGCGUAGAGAUCUGAAGGAAUACCGGUGGCGAAGGCGGCCCCCUGGACAGAUACUGACACUCAGAUGCGAAAGCGUGGGGAGCAAACAGGAUUAGAUACCCUGGUAG